This is a long non-coding RNA of Lacerta agilis (Sand lizard), 246 nucleotides long. RefSeq lists it as uncharacterized. The transcript has 3 exons. Lineage: Eukaryota; Metazoa; Chordata; Lepidosauria; Squamata; Lacertidae. The record is from RefSeq and is a predicted model, not a curated record.
GAAGAGGAAAAUGAAAUGGUCACAGCUGAGGAGAAGAGGAAAACAUCGAGAUAACGGAGGACACAAUUUGCUUGUGUCUCAUUUGAAGAGAUGUUAACCACAUUAGGUUCUAUUUGGGCUAUGCUAACGGAGGAAAUGAGAACGGAGACCAAAAAGGCGCCAAAAGAAGCACCAGGAAAGAAAAUAUAAAUUCCCUGCCAUAGUUACAUCAGAGGAAAUAUUAGAGGUGCAGGGGAAGAAGAUCGA